GACGAACGCUGGCGGCGUGCCUAAUACAUGCAAGUUGAGCGCUGAAGGUUGGUACUUGUACCAACUGGAUGAGCAGCGAACGGGUGAGUAACGCGUGGGGAAUCUGCCUUUGAGCAGGGGACAACAUUUGGAAACGAAUGCUAAUACCGCAUAAAAACUUUAAACACAAGAUUUAAGUUUGAAAGAUGCAAUUGCAUCACUCAAAGAUGAUCCCGCGUUGUAUUAGCUAGUUGGUGAGGUAAAGGCUCACCAAGGCGAUGAUACAUAGCCGACCUGAGAGGGUGAUCGGCCACAAUGGGACUGAGACACGGCCCAAACUCCUACGGGAGGCAGCAGUAGGGAAUCUUCGGCAAUGGACGAAAGUCUGACCGAGCAACGCCGCGUGAGUGAAGAAGGUUUUCGGAUCGUAAAACUCUGUUGGUAGAGAAGAACGUUGGUGAGAGUGGAAAGCUCACCAAGUGACGGUAACUACCCAGAAAGGGACGGCUAACUACGUG
RNAcentral lists this ribosomal RNA (497 nucleotides) under uncultured bacterium. Its description in RNAcentral is "partial 16S ribosomal RNA". It matches the Rfam family "Bacterial small subunit ribosomal RNA", at positions 28 to 507 of the family's 1533-position model. The record is from RNAcentral.